RNAcentral lists this long non-coding RNA (985 nucleotides) under Equus caballus (horse). RNAcentral's name for it is "lncRNA (ENSECAG00000046523.1)". The record is from RNAcentral. Lineage: Eukaryota; Metazoa; Chordata; Mammalia; Perissodactyla; Equidae.
GGAAUCUUGGAGCGAUUCGAUGUGAGAAAGACUUGAUCAUAGUUGCUGGCUUUGACGAUGAAGGAAGGGGUCUGGGAGCCAAGGAAUGAAGAUGGCUUCUAGAAGCUGGGAAAGGCAAGGAAAUGAAUUGCCGCCAAGAACCUCCAGAAAGGAAUGCAGCCCUGUAAAAACCUUGAUUUUUGCUCAGUGAGAAUGAUUUCAGACUUCUGAUCUCAAGAACUAAUCACAUACUGUCACAAGACAUAACGAAAAGUGUGUGAAUUGUUGUUGGUGAGAAAACAUAAACAACCUUUGGGGAUGCGACUUUUCUUCAGUUGAGUAUGGACAUUGAACCUCUCCUAACGCUGUGUUCAAUGAUAAGACCAAGCCUAAGAUGUUUUAUGAUUUCCAGAAGUCAGUCAAUUAACAUUUGGAGAAUUCAAGGCCAUUAUCUCUCACAUCAAACACAUUCACUGAUGACUGAAGAUAAAAAAGAAACUCCAUAGGAAAUAUUAAAGGAUGUGAUGGCAGGUUUACAAUGCUGUUAAAAUAUAAAGUCUAAAAUGUAGUAUGUGGAGUUGUUUCGGAACUGACCUCCUACCCCAGCUCCGGUCACGACAGAAACUUUUAAGGAUCUUGAAUAAAUGAAGGUUUUUUUCUCCCAGAAUUGCUUCUUUAGUUUCUGCCUUAUUCCUGAGAGAACAGUGGGGUUCUAUGAGGAUGUCCAAUAAGGUGACUUGAAGGAGAACAACCGAUAGAAUCACAAUGACAGUUUAAUGCUGGGAGAUACAGAUAAGAGCUCGUCUGUAAUCACAAAAGCCCAGCAUCUCAGAGAAGGAAGGGCCCUUAGAAUUCCAGUGUAAAGCAGGAAAUCCUAUUGCCGCAUGCUGGACAGGCUGUCAUCCAGCCUCCAGUUGAACAUCUUCUGUGAAGCAAAGCUCACCACCUCCCAAGCACUUGCUAUUCCAUUGUUUGUUUCCAAUUUAACUUCCACCCAUACUCUCAG